Molecule: long non-coding RNA, 2999 nt
Organism: Mercenaria mercenaria
Lineage: Eukaryota; Metazoa; Mollusca; Bivalvia; Venerida; Veneridae
Exons: 3
Source: RefSeq, a predicted model, not a curated record
CGGUACGGAUAAACACUAAGUUACCGUCAAGGACGGUCAAGUCAACAACUGUAUUUUAAUAAUGUGGUACGAGCUUUUGCCCUUCAUGGGCUUAAUGGCAGCAUGUACCGUGGCAGUACAAUAUAUCCAUAUUCCAUUUAAUUAUGCUAAGACUGGACAUCUCAGAAAUAAUAAAUGGCCAAGACACAUGCAGGAUGCUGCUAUAAUGGGAAGAGAUAUUUCUUUGACAGGGAGCCCACACAAACCUUUGGGCCUUGAAACCAUCCCAGAUGAGGAGUAAAUAAAGCAAAAUGAUGAACAAUAACUAAACAUUUAAAAUGCAAAUUGUAAAACUACUUGUUGGAAACUAUGUAAAAAAAAUACGGAUGAGAAGUAAAAACAAACAGUCUGAAGAGCCAGAUUUGCAUGAAUAGCCGACAUUUCGUGUAUUAUAUAGAUCUUUAUUCUAUGUUUUUUAAUUAUAUUAGAUAAUGAGUGAAUAAAUCUUGUUUCUCUUUUAGGGUAUUUGAGCCGCACCAUGAGAAAACCAGCAAAGUGCAUUUGCGACCAGCAUGGAUCCAGAACAGCCUGCGUAUCUGCGCAGUCUAGUCAGGAUCCAUGCUGUUUGCUAAUGGUUUCUCAAAUUGCAAUAGGCUUUGAAAGCGAACAGCAUGGAUCCUGACCAGACUGUGCGAAUGCGCAGGCUGGUCUGGAUCCAUGCUGGUCGCAAACACACUGUGUUGGUUUUCUCAUGAAGCGGCUCAUUUCUACUAUGUUUCAGGAUAUCAUCAUACUUUGCCUUACUUUGUUGUAGUUAUACCCCCACCAAACAUGUUUGGAGGGGGGUAUAUAGGAGUCGGUUUUGUCGCGUCCCGAAAUCUAUUAUCUCAGUUAUUACUAAAUGGAUUUGAUUCAAACUUAAAAUAGAUGUUCCACCUUAUCACCCACAUCAUGUGACACAAGGUGCAUAACUCUGACACCAAGUUUUCAUGAAUUAUGUCCCCUUUUACUUAGAAUUUAAGGUUAAUUUUGUUGUAUUUUCACUAUAUCUCAGUUAUUACUACAUGGAUUUGAUACAAACUUAAAACAGUUGUUCCACCUCAUCACCCACAUCAUGUGACAUAAGGUGCUUAACUCUGACAUCAAUUUUUUAUGAAUUAUGUCCCCUUUUUACUUUAAAUUUAAGGUUGAUUUUGAUGCAUUUUCACUAUAUCUCAGUUAUUACAAAAUGGAUUUGAUUCAAACUUAAAAUAGAUGUUCCACCUCAUCACCCACAUCAUGUGACACAAGGUGCAUAACUAUGACAACAAUUUUUCUUGAAUUAUGUCCCCUUUUACUUAGAAUUUAAGGUUAAUUUUGAUGUAUUUUCAUUAUAUCUCAUUCUGAUUGGCUUAGAGCCAAAGGGAAGUAACCUUUUUUUUUAUCCCCCCACCAAAGGUGAAGGGGAUAUUAGAAAUGCUCUCCGUCCGUGCGUCCGUCUGUCCGUCCGUCCGUCCGUCCGUCCGUGCGUCCGCAACGAUAUUUGUCCGGAGCAUAACUCCAAAAGUACUUGAGGGAUUUUCUUCAAACUUCAUACACUGAUAGAACACAUUGGGAGGAAGUGCAGUGUGCAAGAACAAUAACUCUACCUUGCCUAUUUUUUGAGUUAUUCCCCUUUAUCUUAUUUUCUUAAAAAAAUUUGUCCGGAGCAUAACUCCAAAAGUACUGGAAGGAUUUUCUUCAAACUUCAUACACUGAUAGAACACAUUGGGAGGAAGUGCAGUGUGCAAGAACAAUAACUCUACCUUGCCUAUUUUUUGAGUUAUUCCCCUUUAUCAUAUUUUCUUAAAACAUUUUGUCCGGAUCAUAACCCCAAAAGUACUGGAGGAUUUUCUUCAAACUUCAUACACUGAUAGAACACAUUGGGAGGAAGUGCAGUGUGCAAGAACAAUAACUCUACCUUGCCUAUUUUUUGAGUUAUUCCCCUUUAUCAUAUUUUCUUAAAGAAAUUUGUCCGGAGCAUAUCUUCUUCAUGCAUGGAGGGAUUUUGAUAUAUCUUGGCACAAAUGUUUACCACCACGAUGCGGAGUGUCAUACGCAAGAACUAGGUCCCUAGGUCUAAGGUCAAGGUCACACUUAGAGGUCAAAGGAUACAAGAAUAAAAACCUUGUCCGGAGCAUUUCUUCUUCAUGCAUUGAGGGAUUUUGAUAUAACUUGGCACAAAUGUUUACCACCACGAGACGGAGUGUCAUGCGCAAGAUCCAGGUCACUAGGCCUAAGGUCAAGGUCACACUUAGAGGCCAAAGGUCAGAUACAAGAAUGACUUUGUCCGAAGCAUUUCUUCUUCAUGCAUGGAGGGAUUUUGAUGUAACUUGGCACAAUUAUACACCAUCAUGAGACGAAGUGUCAUGCGCAGUUCCCUUCUUUAGAAUUACUUCCCUUUGUUGUUACUUUAAAUAGCUUUUAUUGUAACUUUUUCAUUACUAGUCGUAGGGAAAAAUCGAGACCACUUUUCUGUAGUACAACAAACAUGCUAAAUCCAAUUUUGAGGUGUAUUUUGACCAGUCUCUUCCUGAUAAAGAUUUUUGUGUGGACUUGCAAUUUUUUUUUUUUUUUUUUUUUUUUUUUUUAAAGAACUUCCCUUAGUUGUUACUAUAAAUAACUUAUAUUGUAACAUUUUUAUAAUUGACCCUAGGGAAAAAACAAGACCACUUUUCUGUGGUACAGCAUAGAUGUUACUCUCCAGUUUUAGGUGUAUUUUAUUAAUUUUAUUAUAUAUAAGGUAUCUCUACCUAGUAAGGAGUGGACUUUAAAAAACAAAAGACUUACAAUGAUUACUAAACAACCACAAAAUUAACAUUCCAUUUGCAAAUACAGCUGCUAGAGUAAAGAAAUUUGCUUUGACGGGCAUAUAUUGUGACAUUCUGGCACUCUUGUUCCCUGUUAGCUUUCCAUUCCUUCUUUUUACAGUAGCCAUAUAGAAAAACAUCAUAGUUAUACUCUUCAUGAAAAUUAGUAAAAUUUAGCAGUAAACCACCUCA